UGGGUAAAACGAUAAUUAUUAUUACUUUAAACAUAAUUAACAAAACACGGUCUUUUUGAAGGAAAAGGAACAUUUGAUUUCUCUGGAAACUAAACCAAAUUUUGUAUUAUUAAAACUAGUUGGUGGGUCAAUCAAUUUUACUUUGAAAUAUGGAAUGGACAAAAGAAUAGACACUUGGCAUAGUGCUCCCACAACCACAAGUCGCAUCAUCUCCCAUAAAAGAUCCGCUUGUCAUUUCCGAGGAAACGUUCCUGAUGGGGACACGUGGAGAUCACUAGACGGC
This 283-nucleotide long non-coding RNA is filed under the name Citrus sinensis (sweet orange). RNAcentral's name for it is "long non-coding RNA (CSIN_LNC000640)". The record is from RNAcentral. Lineage: Eukaryota; Viridiplantae; Streptophyta; Magnoliopsida; Sapindales; Rutaceae.